RNAcentral lists this ribosomal RNA (1540 nucleotides) under Klebsiella pneumoniae. RNAcentral's name for it is "bacterial SSU rRNA". It matches the Rfam family "Bacterial small subunit ribosomal RNA". The record is from RNAcentral. Lineage: Bacteria; Pseudomonadati; Pseudomonadota; Gammaproteobacteria; Enterobacterales; Enterobacteriaceae.
AAAUUGAAGAGUUUGAUCAUGGCUCAGAUUGAACGCUGGCGGCAGGCCUAACACAUGCAAGUCGAGCGGUAGCACAGAGAGCUUGCUCUCGGGUGACGAGCGGCGGACGGGUGAGUAAUGUCUGGGAAACUGCCUGAUGGAGGGGGAUAACUACUGGAAACGGUAGCUAAUACCGCAUAACGUCGCAAGACCAAAGUGGGGGACCUUCGGGCCUCAUGCCAUCAGAUGUGCCCAGAUGGGAUUAGCUAGUAGGUGGGGUAACGGCUCACCUAGGCGACGAUCCCUAGCUGGUCUGAGAGGAUGACCAGCCACACUGGAACUGAGACACGGUCCAGACUCCUACGGGAGGCAGCAGUGGGGAAUAUUGCACAAUGGGCGCAAGCCUGAUGCAGCCAUGCCGCGUGUGUGAAGAAGGCCUUCGGGUUGUAAAGCACUUUCAGCGGGGAGGAAGGCGUUAAGGUUAAUAACCUUGGCGAUUGACGUUACCCGCAGAAGAAGCACCGGCUAACUCCGUGCCAGCAGCCGCGGUAAUACGGAGGGUGCAAGCGUUAAUCGGAAUUACUGGGCGUAAAGCGCACGCAGGCGGUCUGUCAAGUCGGAUGUGAAAUCCCCGGGCUCAACCUGGGAACUGCAUUCGAAACUGGCAGGCUAGAGUCUUGUAGAGGGGGGUAGAAUUCCAGGUGUAGCGGUGAAAUGCGUAGAGAUCUGGAGGAAUACCGGUGGCGAAGGCGGCCCCCUGGACAAAGACUGACGCUCAGGUGCGAAAGCGUGGGGAGCAAACAGGAUUAGAUACCCUGGUAGUCCACGCCGUAAACGAUGUCGAUUUGGAGGUUGUGCCCUUGAGGCGUGGCUUCCGGAGCUAACGCGUUAAAUCGACCGCUGGGGGAGUACGGCCGCAAGGUUAAAACUCAAAUGAAUUGACGGGGGCCCGCACAAGCGGUGGAGCAUGUGGUUUAAUUCGAUGCAACGCGAAGAACCUUACCUGGUCUUGACAUCCACAGAACUUUCCAGAGAUGGAUUGGUGCCUUCGGGAACUGUGAGACAGGUGCUGCAUGGCUGUCGUCAGCUCGUGUUGUGAAAUGUUGGGUUAAGUCCCGCAACGAGCGCAACCCUUAUCCUUUGUUGCCAGCGGUUCGGCCGGGAACUCAAAGGAGACUGCCAGUGAUAAACUGGAGGAAGGUGGGGAUGACGUCAAGUCAUCAUGGCCCUUACGACCAGGGCUACACACGUGCUACAAUGGCAUAUACAAAGAGAAGCGACCUCGCGAGAGCAAGCGGACCUCAUAAAGUAUGUCGUAGUCCGGAUUGGAGUCUGCAACUCGACUCCAUGAAGUCGGAAUCGCUAGUAAUCGUAGAUCAGAAUGCUACGGUGAAUACGUUCCCGGGCCUUGUACACACCGCCCGUCACACCAUGGGAGUGGGUUGCAAAAGAAGUAGGUAGCUUAACCUUCGGGAGGGCGCUUACCACUUUGUGAUUCAUGACUGGGGUGAAGUCGUAACAAGGUAACCGUAGGGGAACCUGCGGUUGGAUCACCUCCUUA